Non-coding RNA from Acanthosepion pharaonis, 109 nucleotides. The record is from the annotation of a GenBank genome assembly. Lineage: Eukaryota; Metazoa; Mollusca; Cephalopoda; Sepiida; Sepiidae.
GUCGUAUUACAGUGAAACAUCGAUUCUCGUACGAUCACCGAAUUUAAGCAACGCCGAACCUGGAGAGUACCUUGAUGGGUGACCGCUUGGGAAUACCAGAAGCUGUAAG